UACGUAGGUGGCAAGCGUUGUCCGGAGUUAUUGGGCGUAAAGCGCGCGCAGGCGGUGCGGUAAGUCUCUGGUGAAAGCGCUCGGCUUAACUGGGCGAGGGCCGGGGAGACUGCCACGCUGGAGGGGAGCAGAGGCGAGUGGAAUUCCGGGUGUAGUGGUGAAAUGCGUAGAGAUCCGGAGGAACACCAGUGGCGAAGGCGGCUCGCUGGGCUCUACCUGACGCUGAGGCACGAAAGCUAGGGGAGCAAACAGG
This 253-nucleotide ribosomal RNA is filed under the name uncultured bacterium. Its description in RNAcentral is "partial 16S ribosomal RNA". It matches the Rfam family "Bacterial small subunit ribosomal RNA", at positions 524 to 776 of the family's 1533-position model. The record is from RNAcentral.